This 520-nucleotide ribosomal RNA is filed under the name uncultured bacterium. Its description in RNAcentral is "bacterial SSU rRNA". It matches the Rfam family "Bacterial small subunit ribosomal RNA", at positions 120 to 674 of the family's 1533-position model. The record is from RNAcentral.
GGGAACAUACCCUUUCCUGCGGAAUAGCUCCGGGAAACUGGAAUUAAUACCGCAUACGCCCUACGGGGGAAAGAUUUAUCGGGGAAGGAUUGGCCCGCGUUGGAUUAGCUAGUUGGUGGGGUAAAGGCCUACCAAGGCGACGAUCCAUAGCUGGUCUGAGAGGAUGAUCAGCCACAUUGGGACUGAGACACGGCCCAAACUCCUACGGGAGGCAGCAGUGGGGAAUAUUGGACAAUGGGCGCAAGCCUGAUCCAGCCAUGCCGCGUGAGUGAUGAAGGCCUUAGGGUUGUAAAGCUCUUUCACCGGAGAAGAUAAUGACGGUAUCCGGAGAAGAAGCCCCGGCUAACUUCGUGCCAGCAGCCGCGGUAAUACGAAGGGGGCUAGCGUUGUUCGGAAUUACUGGGCGUAAAGCGCACGUAGGCGGAUAUUUAAGUCAGGGGUGAAAUCCCAGAGCUCAACUCUGGAACUGCCUUUGAUACUGGGUAUCUUGAGUAUGGAAGAGGUAAGUGGAAUUCCGAGU